AACCGGUAGGGGUUCAGAGGUUCUACGGAAUUUUCUGAACCUCUAUGACGAACAGCAAGAGCAAGAUGCCGAUGUCAAGCGUACUCUGGUCCUGCACGGGCUUCCAAUAUAUCUACGCGAGGAGGACCCACAAUUCCUCAAAGUUUGGAAUAUUGAAGAGUCACCAGAGCCAGACAUCAGUAGCGCCUCUGUUGCCAUUCUGACAACUGUCAAUGAGAACAGUUU
Oryzias latipes (Japanese medaka) is the source of this 225-nucleotide non-coding RNA. The record is from RefSeq and is a predicted model, not a curated record. Lineage: Eukaryota; Metazoa; Chordata; Actinopteri; Beloniformes; Adrianichthyidae.